Molecule: non-coding RNA, 79 nt
Organism: Schistocerca gregaria
Lineage: Eukaryota; Metazoa; Arthropoda; Insecta; Orthoptera; Acrididae
Source: the annotation of a RefSeq genome assembly
GUGGACGUGGCCGAGUGGUUAAGGCGUUGGAUUUAGGCUCCAAUGCGAAAGCGCGUGGGUUCAAACCCCACCGUCCACA